RNAcentral lists this ribosomal RNA (492 nucleotides) under uncultured bacterium. RNAcentral describes it as "partial 16S ribosomal RNA". It matches the Rfam family "Bacterial small subunit ribosomal RNA", at positions 29 to 507 of the family's 1533-position model. The record is from RNAcentral.
AGUGAACGCUGGCGGUAGGCCUAACACAUGCAAGUCGAACGGCAGCACAGUAAGAGCUUGCUCUUACGGGUGGCGAGUGGCGGACGGGUGAGGAAUACAUCGGAAUCUACUUUUUCGUGGGGGAUAACGUAGCGAAACUUACGCUAAUACCGCAUACGACCUACGGGUGAAAGCAGGGGAUCUUCGGACCUUGCGCGAUUGAAUGCGCCGAUGUCGGAUUAGCUAGUUGGCGGGGUAAAGGCCCACCAAGGCGACGAUCCGUAGCUGGUCUGAGAGGAUGAUCGGCCACACGGGAAGUGAGACACGGACCAGACUCCUACGGGAGGCAGCAGUGGGGAAUGUUAGACAGUGGGCGCAAGCCUGAUCCAGCCAUACCGCGUGGGUGAAGAAGGCCUUCGGGUUGUAAAGCCCUUUUGUUGGGAAAGAACAGCAGCAGGUUAAUACCCCGCUGUUCUGACGGUACCCAAAGAAUAAGCACCGGCUAACUUCGUG